Molecule: long non-coding RNA, 1286 nt
Organism: Hevea brasiliensis (rubber tree)
Lineage: Eukaryota; Viridiplantae; Streptophyta; Magnoliopsida; Malpighiales; Euphorbiaceae
Exons: 3
Source: RefSeq, a predicted model, not a curated record
AAGACUACGACUUGCUUCUGCUUAUUUUCUUGCUUUGAGUAGGUAAUCGUCAGAAGGGAUUCUCUAGCCUCUAGCGGAGCUACGAAAUUGCAAAUGGAGAUGAAGAGGAGGCAAAGCUUGCAUAUUUUGGAUGCCAAUUAAAGAGCACAACCCCAUAGAAAGCCAACUAUCAAGUAGCUGCAAUUGUCCUCAGUAGAUUGCGUAUGCUGCACAAGAACAAUUGUUCAGGCACUCUGCUUGACAAUCAAAAAGGCUCAAGUUGUAACUUUGAUCGAACUUCUGUCCUUCAGCAGACAUGAAUCCUUUCCUUGCCUCGAACGAAACAUUCUGGCUCCUGCACUCAGGCAUCUUUUGUGCCACACAGCCAGGAUCAGGGAAUAUGUGAAGUAAUUUGCGCCAUCAUUGGAGAUGAAGCGAAAGUUUGGAUUGCCUUCGUUUGAUAAUUGAGACACUAGUUCAAAACGCCCAUUUUGCCACAUUCCACUUGUCCAAUAUAUGCUUCCUUUACACCAUAUGACAAUUUGGGUGCUACUAUUGUCGCGACCCAUGCCAAUGGUAAGAGAAAAAGACCCUUGGGCUGGGAUAUUGUCAUUUAUCCAUGAAGUGAGCGACCACACUUGCAUUUUUCUUUCAUCAAAUCCAAGUUUCAUCCCAGGCAAGAGUGUGUCUGUGGGGUAAUCAAAGCUUUGCCAUAGAAUCUGCUUUGUAGAACCAUCUAAAUUAAAUUCUUUCAACACGAAAUUCCCUGAAUCCAAUAGUGUUGCACUUACAUUACUAGCUGCUUCAACAGAACUUAAAGGAAAACUGGAGCUGCCUUCAUUAUAUAAAAUUGUCAACUUGCCUGAUUCGUCUAUUUUCAGAAUGUCGCCUGAAUCAGAGAUUGGAUUAUCUCGGUUGGCAACCCACACCACCUUCUUCUUGGCAAUGAAAACUUCAUUCUCAUCCACCAUGUUGUACCAUAUUCCCAAAUAUCGGCUUCUGGAAGUGCCAGGGCUAAAGAAUCCUAAUUUGAAAGUCCCAUCAGCUGAAACCAGAUGAUCGUAGUCCUUGAGCUGUUGGCCUUGAAGUAACGUGUCUGCAAAUGAAUGAGAGAGACCAAUCAACAGGAAAUAACAUAACGAACUGAGAAGGAUUUUGCUUCUCUGUUUGGUGUCCAUAAUGGAGAGGUUUGAAGAUGGAGGUGAAUAAAAAGUAUCUAUCGUUACAUGAUACUUAGCUGUUUAUUUUGACUCUUGACUUAUCCGAUGGUGGUUAAUGUGAAACAUCAUGUGGGUCUAUUUCUUCUC